RNAcentral lists this ribosomal RNA (235 nucleotides) under uncultured bacterium. Its description in RNAcentral is "partial 16S ribosomal RNA". It matches the Rfam family "Bacterial small subunit ribosomal RNA", at positions 15 to 229 of the family's 1533-position model. The record is from RNAcentral.
GAUCAUGGCUCAGGACGAACGCUGGCGGCGCGCCUAACACAUGCAAGUCGAACGGAGUUAUUUUGGCAGAAGCCUUCGGGCAGACGCUGAUAUAACUUAGUGGCGAACGGGUGAGUAACACGUGAGUAACCUGCCCUUCAGAGGGGGACAACAGUUGGAAACGACUGCUAAUACCGCAUAAGACCACGGUGUGGCAUCACACAGAGGUCAAAGGAGAAAUCCGCUGAAGGAUGGG